This is a long non-coding RNA of Hipposideros armiger (great roundleaf bat), 1360 nucleotides long. RefSeq lists it as uncharacterized. The transcript is spliced from 4 exons. NCBI's taxonomy places the organism in Eukaryota, Metazoa, Chordata, Mammalia, Chiroptera, Hipposideridae. The record is from RefSeq and is a predicted model, not a curated record.
AGCCCCCAGGGCGCCUCGUCCGGGCAGCCCUCCCCACCGCCUGACGCGACUGCUCCUCGUCACACGGCGGGCCUUGGCCCGUGGCUAGAUUCCCGAGGCACGACGUCCAGGCCACAGCGCAGCCCAGGGUGGGAGACCGUCCGGGCGGGCCACAGGGCAGAAUAAGUCCGGUGCAGCCGCGGACAGCCCCGCUGGGUCCUCGCGCGAGGACCCGAGGGAGGCCUAGGGCUGGCUGAAGCGGUCCUGAAGCGGGAGGGGGCGGGACCAGCCGGAUCUCCAGGGCGACGGGCGCGCGCGCGUGAGCUCCUCCUCCUCGCGACACGUGCUGGGCCCCGCGACCCUUUGUCCAGGUGGGAGAAGUACCGACGCCAUUGAAAAGGGUCUGAGUGAAGGUCCACGGGGACCUGCUUGAGCCCCAGUCCACGCAUACUGCUUCCACGUGAUGGUAGCACAUUGCUGUGUGCCCAGUUCCAUGACCUGGUGGAGCAGACAUGUUCAUGAUGGACAGACAACUCAGGUCAUCUGGGAACUUGCUGGCCCAUGGUCAAGCAUUCAGGUCGUGUGUCACCUGUAAAGAUAAUCCUGGGAACAGAUGUAAAGGUGUGGGACCUGGCUAGGAGCCAAAGCCUCAAGAGGCUGGAGACCUUGGUGGAUUUUGUCCAGAUCCCAGUCUUCAUGAGACUUGUAUCCUGACCUCAGCUGUCCAGAUGGCUCCUGUGCACCCUACCUGCCUGUUCCCCUCUGCCUUGGCCAACCUCUGGGGCCCCCUCGGUCCUGCCUGUCUGCACGGACCCACUUUGAAUCGGUUCCCUGAGUUCUGAGCUCAGCUUCCUCAUCUGGACUUUAACUGCUUGAAGCACUGUCCUAGUAUAAGCUAAUUCUUUUCAGGUAAGACUUCUCUGGUCUAUGCCAAAUCUUGAUUUUGACUUCUCCACAGCUGCAGAGGCAACAUAUAAACUUGAGACCCACUAAGCUUAGAGGUAACUAUUACAGACAAUAAAAACUGAUGCCAAAGAUACACAGGUGAUGUAGAAAGUAACAUCAGGGCCAGCCGAGUGGCGCGAUGGUUAAGAACCCUUGAACAUUUGCAGUCACUCCCAGUUGCCACUCUCAGCCUCAGGCCACUCAUCUACAAUACUUUGUCUCUGAAGAUUUGGCUUUUCUGGACGUUUCAUAUAAAUAGAACUAUACAAUAUGUGGUCCCUGGCAUCUGGCUCUUUCCACUUAGAAUAAUGUUUUUGAAGUUUUGAUUUAAGUAUUAUAAUACACAUAUUAGUGAUUCUAAUGUUUAAAAAGUUUCAUUUCAGGGCCGGCCGAGUGGCGCGAUGGUUAAGAACUGGCUUGGGACGCCAGAGGGCCC